This 487-nucleotide ribosomal RNA is filed under the name uncultured bacterium. Its description in RNAcentral is "bacterial SSU rRNA". It matches the Rfam family "Bacterial small subunit ribosomal RNA", at positions 39 to 507 of the family's 1533-position model. The record is from RNAcentral.
GCGGCGCGCCUAACACAUGCAAGUCGCACGAGAAAGGGAGCAAUCCCCGGUACAGUGGCGCACGGGUGAGUAACACGUAGAUGACCUUCCCUGGAGUGGUGGAUAACCUGCCGAAAGGCGGGCUAAUACAGCAUGGGACCACAUGGUUUUGACCGAGUGGUGAAAGCGGGCCUCUGUUCACAAGCUCGCGCUCUGGGAUGGGUCUGCGUCCCAUCAGCUAGUGGUGAGGUAAUGGCUCACCAAGGCAUCGACGGGUAGCUGGUCUGAGAGGAUGACCAGCCACACUGGAACUGAGACACGGUCCAGACUCCUACGGGAGGCAGCAGUGGGGAAUCUUGCGCAAUGGGCGAAAGCCUGACGCAGCGACGCCGCGUGGGUGAUGAAGGCCUUCGGGUUGUAAAGCCCUGUGGGGAGGAACGAACCGUACGGGGGCGAACACCCUCCGUACCUGACGGUACCUCCUUAGCAAGCAUCGGCUAACUCUGUG